RNAcentral lists this ribosomal RNA (496 nucleotides) under uncultured bacterium. RNAcentral describes it as "partial 16S ribosomal RNA". It matches the Rfam family "Bacterial small subunit ribosomal RNA", at positions 28 to 507 of the family's 1533-position model. The record is from RNAcentral.
GAUGAACGCUGGCGGCGUGCCUAAUACAUGCAAGUCGAGCGAACGGACGAGAAGCUUGCUUCUCUGAUGUUAGCGGCGGACGGGUGAGUAACACGUGGAUAACCUACCUAUAAGACUGGGAUAACUUCGGGAAACCGGAGCUAAUACCGGAUAAUAUUUUGAACCGCAUGGUUCAAAAGUGAAAGACGGUCUUGCUGUCACUUAUAGAUGGAUCCGCGCUGCAUUAGCUAGUUGGUAAGGUAACGGCUUACCAAGGCAACGAUGCAUAGCCGACCUGAGAGGGUGAUCGGCCACACUUGAACUGAGACACGGUCCAGACUCCUACGGGAGGCAGCAGUAGGGAAUCUUCCGCAAUGGGCGAAAGCCUGACGGGCAACGCCGCGUGAGUGAUGAAGGUCUUCGGAUCGUAAAACUCUGUUAUUAGGGAAGAACAUAUGUGUAAGUAACUGUGCACAUCUUGGCGGUACCUAAGCAGAAAGCCACGGGUAACUACGUG